This 440-nucleotide ribosomal RNA is filed under the name uncultured bacterium. RNAcentral describes it as "partial 16S ribosomal RNA". It matches the Rfam family "Bacterial small subunit ribosomal RNA", at positions 338 to 795 of the family's 1533-position model. The record is from RNAcentral.
CCUACGGGAGGCAGCAGUGGGGAAUAUUGCACAAUGGGCGAAACCCUGAUGCAGCGACGCCGCGUGAGUGAAGAAGUAAUUCGUUAUGUAAAGCUCUAUUAGUAGGGAGGAAAAUGACGGUACCUGAGUAAGAAGCCCCGGCUAACUACGUGCCAGCAGCCGCGGUAAGACGUAGGGGGCAAGCGUUAUCCGGAGUUACUGGGCGUAAAGGGAGCGUAGACGGCAUAGCAAGUGUGGCGGGAAAGGUCGGGGGUCAACCCCCGGACUGCUCUGGAAACUGUACGGCUGGAGUGCAGGAGAGGUAAGUGGAAUUCCUAGUGUAGCGGUGAAAUGCGUAGAUAUUAGGAGGAACACCAGUGGCGAAGGCGGCUUACUGGACUGUAACUGACGUUGAGUCUCGAAAGCGUGGGGAGCAAACAGGAUUAGAUACCCGUGUAGUC